UCAUCUGACGGAGGAAGAAGGAGGAAGGACGCGGGCGGAAGGUACCGAUGGAUGGAUGGAUGGACCUGUGGGCGGAUGGAUGGAUGGCCGAGAGAUGUGCGGACAGCCGAGUUAAGGAAAAGAAAAACAAAGGGUGAAACAAACGGAGGAUUCUUUCAAAGAGGAAGCCGAAUACGUUCAUACCUCGGGGCCCACGGAGCAACAUUGCAAUAUCGUGUGUUCAAGAGAACGGUGCCUCAUUUCUACAGCAGUCGCAGGGACCAUUUUUUUUUUUAUAUAUCAACAGAACUUUAUUUAGUAAUAUCCUUUAGAGUAGAUGUAAGCCUCCUCAGGGAAACACAGGAAAUAUCUUCAAGAUUCACACCAGUAUUUUUCAGAGUUCUACCUGAAGAAAGUGCCUAAAGAAAUAUACAAUAGCUUUA
Molecule: long non-coding RNA, 422 nt
Filed under: Penaeus japonicus
Lineage: Eukaryota; Metazoa; Arthropoda; Malacostraca; Decapoda; Penaeidae
Description: uncharacterized LOC122252609
Source: RNAcentral